GUUGGUUUUAUUUUGCUGUUGGUGGUGGUUUUUCCUUUGGUGUUUUGUUUUAUUUUGUUUUGGGUUUAGGUCAGAAAAUGGUUCAUUGGCUUGAUAGUUCAGGUGACAUUUUCCCUUUCUCUCCUCUUAGGCUGACAAUUGCAUUUUUUGCACUCUCUGGGCUGGAUAUGUUGGACUCCUUGGAUGUGGUGAACAAAGACGAUAUAAUAGAGUGGAUUUAUUCCUUGCAGGUUCUUCCCACAGAAGACAGGUCAAAUCUGGAUCGCUGUGGUUUCCGAGGUUCUUCAUAUUUGGGUAUUCCAUUCAACCCAUCAAAGAAUCCAGGCACAGCUCAUCCUUAUGACAGUGGACACAUAGCGAUGACUUACACUGGUCUUUCCUGUUUAAUUAUUCUUGGAGAUGAUUUAAGCCGAGUAGAUAAAGAAGCUUGCUUAGCAGGCUUGAGAGCACUUCAGCUGGAAGAUGGGAGCUUCUGUGCUGUUCCUGAAGGCAGUGAGAAUGACAUGAGGUUUGUGUACUGUGCUUCCUGCAUUUGCUAUAUGCUCAACAACUGGUCAGGCAUGGAUAUGAAGAAAGCCAUCAGCUACAUUAGAAGAAGUAUGUCCUAUGACAAUGGCCUGGCACAGGGGGCAGGACUUGAGUCUCAUGGAGGAUCCACCUUUUGUGGCAUUGCGUCACUGUGCCUGAUGGGUAAACUGGAAGAAGUUUUUUCAGAGAAAGAACUGA
Molecule: long non-coding RNA, 726 nt
Filed under: Rattus norvegicus (Norway rat)
Lineage: Eukaryota; Metazoa; Chordata; Mammalia; Rodentia; Muridae
Description: long non-coding RNA NONRATT013807
Source: RNAcentral